Non-coding RNA from Pelobates cultripes (western spadefoot toad), 363 nucleotides. The record is from the annotation of a GenBank genome assembly. NCBI's taxonomy places the organism in Eukaryota, Metazoa, Chordata, Amphibia, Anura, Pelobatidae.
GUUUGAAUCAUGCUGGCUCUGACCCUGAUCUGCCUCUUUGUCAGUCUCAGCCAAUCCUAUGGGGAAGCACUGUGAUUGGAUCAGGCCACCACUUCUAAUGAUGUCAGCAGACUGCUUCUUUUUAUGAGUCUAACAGCAUGCAGAGUUACAGCUUCAGGCUUGAAUAUAGUAGGAUUUUGCUAUAUUUAUGGAGGCCAUGAGGGGCCCAGGGGGGCUAGAUGGUGGUGUUAACACCAUAGGGUCAUGAAUUCAUGUUUGUGUUCCUGACCCUAUAGUGAUCCUUUAAGGUAAUGCUGACUUUGGUCUCUCUAACACUGUGGCAUGUUCCCUUUCUUCUAAACUCACUACAUACAGCUUUUCUCU